GUGCCAGCCGCCGCGGUAACACGUAGGGGGCAAGCGUUGUCCGGAUUUACUGGGCGUAAAGAGCUCGUAGGCGGUUCAGCAAGUCGGGUGUGACAAUUCCAGGCUCAACCUGGAGAGGUCAUUCGAUACUGCUGUGACUAGAGUCCGGUAGGGGAGUGUGGAAUUCCCGGUGUAGCGGUGGAAUGCGCAGAUAUCGGGAGGAACACCAGUGGCGAAGGCGGCACUCUGGGCCGGAACUGACGCUGAGGAGCGAAAGCGUGGGGAGCGAACAGGAUUAGAAACCCUCGUAGUCC
RNAcentral lists this ribosomal RNA (293 nucleotides) under uncultured bacterium. RNAcentral describes it as "partial 16S ribosomal RNA". It matches the Rfam family "Bacterial small subunit ribosomal RNA", at positions 505 to 796 of the family's 1533-position model. The record is from RNAcentral.